GAUGAACGCUGGCGGCGUGCCUAAUACAUGCAAGUCGAGCGAACAGACGAGGAGCUUGCUCCUUCGACGUUAGCGGCGGACGGGUGAGUAACACGUAGGUAACCUACCUAUAAGACUGGGAUAACUUCGGGAAACCGGAGCUAAUACCGGAUAAUAUUUCGAACCGCAUGGUUCGAUAGUGAAAGAUGGCUUUGCUAUCACUUAUAGAUGGACCUGCGCCGUAUUAGCUAGUUGGUAAGGUAACGGCUUACCAAGGCAACGAUACGUAGCCGACCUGAGAGGGUGAUCGGCCACACUGGAACUGAGCCACGGUCCCGACUCCUACGGGAGGCAGCAGUAGGGAAUCUUCCGCAAUGGGCGAAAGCCUGACGGAGCAACGCCGCGUGAGUGAUGAAGGUCUUCGGAUCGUAAAACUCUGUUAUUAGGGAAGAACAACCGUGUAAGUAACUGUGCACGUCUUGACGGUACCUAAUCAGAAAGCCACGGCUAACUACGUG
This 497-nucleotide ribosomal RNA is filed under the name uncultured bacterium. RNAcentral's name for it is "partial 16S ribosomal RNA". It matches the Rfam family "Bacterial small subunit ribosomal RNA", at positions 28 to 507 of the family's 1533-position model. The record is from RNAcentral.